RNAcentral lists this ribosomal RNA (492 nucleotides) under uncultured bacterium. RNAcentral's name for it is "partial 16S ribosomal RNA". It matches the Rfam family "Bacterial small subunit ribosomal RNA", at positions 29 to 507 of the family's 1533-position model. The record is from RNAcentral.
AGUGAACGCUGGCGGUAGGCCUAACACAUGCAAGUCGAACGGCAGCACAGUAAGAGCUUGCUCUUACCGGUGGCGAGGGGCGGACGGGUGAGGCAUACAUCAGCAUCUACUUUUUCGGGGGUGACAACGGAGGGAAACUUACGCCAACACCGCAUACGACCUACGGGUGAAAGCAGGGGAUCUUCGGACCUUGCGCGACUGAAUGAGCCGAUGUCGGAUUAGCUAGUUGGCGGGGUAAAGGCUCACCAAGGCAACGAUGCGUAGCCGACCUGAGAGGAUGAUCGGCCACACUGGAACUGAGACACGGUCCAGACUCCUACGGGAGGCAGCAGUAGGGAAUCUUGGGCAAUGGGCGAAAGCCUGACGGAGCAACGCCGCGUGAGUGAUGAAGGUCUUCGGGUCGUAAAACCCUGUUAUUAGGGAAGAACAAAUGUGUAAUUAACUAUGGACGUUUUGACGGUACCCAAUCAGAAAGCCCCGGCUAACUUCGUG